RNAcentral lists this ribosomal RNA (253 nucleotides) under uncultured bacterium. RNAcentral describes it as "partial 16S ribosomal RNA". It matches the Rfam family "Bacterial small subunit ribosomal RNA", at positions 524 to 776 of the family's 1533-position model. The record is from RNAcentral.
UACGGAGGGUGCAAGCGUUAUCCGGAAUCACUGGGUUUAAAGGGUGCGUAGGCGGCGUUGUAAGUCAGAAGUGAAAGCUUUCAGCUUAACUGGAAAAUUGCUUUUGAUACUGCAGCGCUUGAAUCAGGUUGAGGUUGGCGGAAUGUGACAUGUAGCGGUGAAAUGCAUAGAUAUGUCAUAGAACACCAAUUGCGAAGGCAGCUGACUGGGCCUGAAUUGACGCUGAGGCACGAAAGCGUGGGGAGCGAACAGG